GUCUUCUGUGGCUUUCCUAUGAGAUCAAGUGAAUACAAACCCCUGUAUCUCUAUCAAGAAACAUAGAAAUGCACAAAUCCUGGAACUGCUUCUCUUCGCAUUCUUCUGGUGGAAGUUACUGCCUAAUGGAAAGCAAGGGCCAAGGACAGUCACAGCAGUGGUGUCACCACUGCAUCCUCUUCAUCCUUACUGGAAUCCAACCAAAGAACCUACCCAACAGCCACAUCACUGGGACAAUUCCUUCUGACGUUGUUCAUGAGCAGGUAAAACCCAGAUUCAUAUCCUGAAAACACAACUUCAUCUUCCAGUAUGCAACUUUCUGGGCUACAUCUCUGCUAGGUGUCAUGGUUUUAUGAUUUUCGGUUAUUGGUAUUCCACAUCAUAACAUCAUGUAGUGUAUGUACCUGGUUCUCAAAAGAGAAGGAUUACUGCAUUCCCCAGGACACUUUGCUCCUCUGUUACCAUUUCUGGCCAGAGGGAAAAGAUAAAAGCUUGCAGAUCACGAGACCUCGUCCCUUCUCUUUCCGCCCGUCUCUCGUUCUGGCAGCACCUCGCUCUCCAGCCCUCUUAUCAUCGGUAGAAGAGUAAGGCCUACCUUGAUUUUGGACAUUCUCUCUCGCUGUAUUGGAUUUAUCAGCUUAAAUUGUAAUUAUAUUGUAUUAUAGUGUGUUGUUUUGCAUUCUGAUAUCUUAUUUAGUAAAUUAGUUUGUUUCUCCUCAGAUUGUUGCCGCUGUUUUUGCUCUCAGGCCCAUUUCCCUACCCUUUUUUCCUUUUUUUCCCGGGGUGUGGGUCCAUGGGUCCCCCGUCCCAUUCGUUACAGAACUGGGCCGAACGCCUGUAAACUGUUGACACUAGGAAAUCAGAGGUGCUCACAACACUGCU
This 882-nucleotide long non-coding RNA is filed under the name Numida meleagris (helmeted guineafowl). RNAcentral's name for it is "lncRNA (ENSNMEG00000014655.1)". Lineage: Eukaryota; Metazoa; Chordata; Aves; Galliformes; Numididae. The record is from RNAcentral.